ACGCUGGCGGCGUGCCUAAUACAUGCAAGUCGAACGGUCUUUCUAUGGAAGCUUGCUUCCACUGAGAAGAUAGUGGCGAACGGGUGAGUAACACGUGGGUAACCUGCCCAUAAGAGGGGGAUAACAUCCGGAAACGGGUGCUAAUACCGCAUAGUUUUCUUGAUCGCAUGAUCGGGAAAGGAAAGACGGCCUUUGUGCUGUCGCUUAUGGAUGGACCCGCGGCGUAUUAGUUAGUUGGUGAGGUAACGGCUCACCAAGACGAUGAUACGUAGCCGACCUGAGAGGGUGAUCGGCCACAUUGGGACUGAGACACGGCCCAAACUCCUACGGGAGGCAGCAGUAGGGAAUCUUCCGCAAUGGACGAAAGUCUGACGGAGCAACGCCGCGUGAGUGAAGAAAAGGUUUUCGGAUCGUAAAACUCUGUUGUCAGAGAAGAACAAGUUGGAGAGUAACUGCUCCAGCCUUGACGGUAUCUGACCAGAAAGCCACGGCUAACUACGUGCCAGCCGCUGC
Molecule: ribosomal RNA, 513 nt
Filed under: uncultured bacterium
Lineage: Bacteria
Description: bacterial SSU rRNA
Rfam family: Bacterial small subunit ribosomal RNA
Source: RNAcentral